Molecule: transfer RNA, 65 nt
Filed under: Opisthorchis felineus
Lineage: Eukaryota; Metazoa; Platyhelminthes; Trematoda; Opisthorchiida; Opisthorchiidae
Description: tRNA-Lys
Rfam family: tRNA
About the family: Transfer RNA (tRNA) molecules are approximately 80 nucleotides in length. Their secondary structure includes four short double-helical elements and three loops (D, anti-codon, and T loops).
Source: RNAcentral
UUGUAGAUAGCUUAAUUAUCAAAGCUCUAGAUUCUUACUCUGGCGAUGUCCAUUGACUCUACAAA